RNAcentral lists this ribosomal RNA (986 nucleotides) under Streptococcus suis. RNAcentral's name for it is "partial 23S ribosomal RNA". It matches the Rfam family "Bacterial large subunit ribosomal RNA", at positions 1945 to 2925 of the family's 2925-position model. The record is from RNAcentral. Lineage: Bacteria; Bacillati; Bacillota; Bacilli; Lactobacillales; Streptococcaceae.
ACGGUCCUAAGGUAGCGAAAUUCCUUGUCGGGUAAGUUCCGACCUGCACGAAUGGCGUAAUGAUGGCCAGGCUGUCUCCACCCGAGACUCAGUGAAAUUGAACUCGCUGUGAAGAUGCAGUGUACCCGCGGCAAGACGGAAAGACCCCGUGAACCUUUACUAUAGCUUGACACUGAACACUGGUCCUUGAUGUGUAGGAUAGGUGGGAGGCUUUGAAGCGUGGACGCCAGUCUGCGUGGAGCCAACCUUGAAAUACCACCCUUUAAUGGCUGGUGUUCUAACGUAGACCCGUAAUCCGGGUUGCGGACAGUGUCUGGUGGGUAGUUUGACUGGGGCGGUCUCCUCCCAAAGAGUAACGGAGGAGCACGAAGGUUGGCUAAUCCUGGUCGGACAUCAGGAGGUUAGUGCAAUGGCAUAAGCCAGCUUGACUGCGAGCGUGACGGCGCGAGCAGGUGCGAAAGCAGGUCAUAGUGAUCCGGUGGUUCUGAAUGGAAGGGCCAUCGCUCAACGGAUAAAAGGUACUCCGGGGAUAACAGGCUGAUACCGCCCAAGAGUUCAUAUCGACGGCGGUGUUUGGCACCUCGAUGUCGGCUCAUCACAUCCUGGGGCUGAAGUAGGUCCCAAGGGUAUGGCUGUUCGCCAUUUAAAGUGGUACGCGAGCUGGGUUUAGAACGUCGUGAGACAGUUCGGUCCCUAUCUGCCGUGGGCGCUGGAGAAUUGAGGGGGGCUGCUCCUAGUACGAGAGGACCGGAGUGGACGCAUCACUGGUGUUCGGGUUGUCAUGCCAAUGGCACUGCCCGGUAGCUAAAUGCGGAAAAGAUAAGUGCUGAAAGCAUCUAAGCACGAAACUUGCCCCGAGAUGAGUUCUCCCUGAGACUUUAAGUCUCCUGAAGGAACGUUGAAGACUACGACGUUGAUAGGUCGGGUGUGUAAGCGCAGCGAUGCGUUGAGCUAACCGAUACUAAUGAACCGUGAGGCUUAACCUU